AUCCGUCUGACGAGUCUCAAAUAGGACGAAACGCGCGUCAAAAUGGAU
Schistosoma mansoni is the source of this 48-nucleotide non-coding RNA. The record is from Rfam. Lineage: Eukaryota; Metazoa; Platyhelminthes; Trematoda; Strigeidida; Schistosomatidae.